GGAAGGGCUCACUGAGGAGAUGGCAUUUAGACUGAGACUCAGAUCUGAUUGACAAGAAAACACCCAUGAUGAGACAAGAUGGCUUGGGGAAGGAGGCAGGAUUCCAGGCCCAGAGAACAGCCACUGCCAAGAUCUGGAGACAGGAAAUGUCUUGGUGUGUCCCGGGAUCAAGAGGAAGGCCAGUGUGGCAGGAGCAGAGGGAAUAACAAGGAGAGUGACAGAAGACAAGCGUUUGGAAUACAAGCAAGAAAUCAAGCGUUGCCCCUACUGGGAUCCAUGCUAAGCAGUGGAAGACAUGAUGCUCAUUGGAAGAGAAAGGCACUUAACUCAGACUUGUUGUCGGGGGAGUGGAGAGGACAGUUUCAUUCUGACUUUGACCAUGUGAUUUGCUUUGGCUGGUGGGACAUCAGCAAAGAGAGCAAGCAGAGGUUUGAUAAGGGCCUGCACACUGGGGACUUGCUGUCUUGGAUCUCUGCCCUGGGAUCUUCCCGAUGUGAAGAACCCCGGGAUGAAAGAUCAAGCAAAGAGAAAGAGGUCCAGCCACAUCAGCUGUGCAGCCCCCCAGUACACAGCUGUACAUUCUUCAUUGUGGGUCCUUCUAGUUGUGGCACGUGGGACGCCGCCUCAGCGUGGCUUGAUGAGCAGUGCCAUGUCCGCGCCCAGGAUUCGAACCAACGAAACACUGGGCCGCUUGCAGCAGAGCGCGCGAACUUAACCACUCGGCCACGGGGCCAGCCCCUAAAAAACUGUUCUUAAGGAAAAAUAAAAUUCAAAAUCGAGUGAAAACAAACCUGAAAGCUAGGUGAAGAUACCUCAAAGAAAUGCUGCCUAUGUCACUUUUCCAAGACAACUGACAACUGAAAUCUAUGAGCAACACUUUCUGGCUUGGAAAACCUUCCUAAAGUGUGCAGUUGGUGCACAUGGUCUGCCUCCCGUCACAGUACCCAUAAGGCAUUCACUCAAAGAUGAGGCAUUUGCCUUCGACUUCCUGGAGCUUUUCUGUGCAAUACGAUGAAGGCCAAGGCAGCAUGACUUUGCAACCUUUAUGCAGCAGGAAACGGCUGGUUUAAAACCUGUCUCUGGGUCAGCUCUCCUGUUCAGCUUUCUGUUCUUCAAUUGGCAGAAAAGGGGGGCUACUAGAGAAGCUGAGUGGUGGGGAAAGCUCCCCCUUUCGGUCUGUAAGAAAGUUGAGUUACACUCAGGACCCAGAGCCUCCUCUGCCUGGCUCCCAGGAAAAUGCCCACUGAAGACAGCCGUGAAGAAUCUGGAAAGGUGUGGUCACUUCCUUGGUCACAUUCUCACGUUCACUUUUAUAAUGAUCAUUAGCAAUCAGUCUUAAGAGAUAAAAGUUUAUUUGGAAACUCAGUCAGCAUGUUAACUGUGGUUUAAAGCGAAUGGCUCCCUCUUCUCUCAUUUUAGCCAGAGAUUUACACCCCUUCCAAGCCAGCCCUGGUCUUAUUUAUGUAACUGUACUAGAGAGUGGCUUGAGGUUGCCUCUACAAUAACAAGCUCUAUUUAUGCCUCGUGGGGCUGGGCCCAGGCAGUUAAAGCAACUGAGAUCAAAACAGGCAGCUAGAAAGCAGGAGCAGGCAGCAUGGACAGACUUUUACCAAGACUGUCCCUCCCUUAAACAGUACAGCUUGGGCAUUCUGAUCAUUCAGACCUCAGAUGAUGUGUGGUCCUACGGGACCUCCACCUACUCAGGGUUAUGAAUUGUUUCAGGCACGAAGUCCCCAGAAAUAUGGGCACAAACUUAACAGAAGGCAUUUACUGUUAGUGACAUAAGAAACAGAUAAAAAAGCUUUUUCUGCUGUUGCUGUUUAUCCUGAUAGAAACAAGUAUUAUAAAACUACACUUUUGUGUCAAUUUUUAUUCAAAGAAAC
Equus caballus (horse) is the source of this 1883-nucleotide long non-coding RNA. NCBI's taxonomy places the organism in Eukaryota, Metazoa, Chordata, Mammalia, Perissodactyla, Equidae. The record is from Ensembl.